UACAGAGGUCCCAAGCGUUGUUCGGAUUCACUGGGCGUAAAGGGUCCGUAGGCGGUCCGUAAAGUCGGGUGUGAAAUCCUACAGCUUAACUGUAGAACUGCAUUCGAAACUCACGGACUAGAGUAUGAGAGGGGUUAAGGGAAUUCCCGGUGUAAGGGUGAAAUCUGCAGAGAUCGGGAGGAACACCAGUCGCGAAGGCGCUUAACUGGCUCAUUACUGACGCUCAGGGACGAAAGCUAGGGGAGCAAACGGG
RNAcentral lists this ribosomal RNA (253 nucleotides) under uncultured bacterium. RNAcentral describes it as "partial 16S ribosomal RNA". It matches the Rfam family "Bacterial small subunit ribosomal RNA", at positions 524 to 776 of the family's 1533-position model. The record is from RNAcentral.